AUUUAUUUAGUUUAUUUAAAACAUUUCAUUUUCAAUGAAAAAAUAGAUAAUUACUUAUUCUAAUAAAUA
RNAcentral lists this transfer RNA (69 nucleotides) under Gorpis humeralis. RNAcentral describes it as "tRNA-Glu". The record is from RNAcentral. Lineage: Eukaryota; Metazoa; Arthropoda; Insecta; Hemiptera; Nabidae.